RNAcentral lists this small RNA (98 nucleotides) under Pseudomonas sp. TTU2014-080ASC. Its description in RNAcentral is "t44 RNA". It matches the Rfam family "t44 RNA". Rfam says of the family: This family consists of a number of bacterial RNA genes of between 135 and 170 bases in length. Lineage: Bacteria; Pseudomonadati; Pseudomonadota; Gammaproteobacteria; Pseudomonadales; Pseudomonadaceae. The record is from Rfam by way of RNAcentral.
UGCCCGCAAGCAUUAACCCACACACGUAUCGACACGGUUUCCUGGGUGCCCUGAUGAGUAAUUGUCGGGUUGGAAAUCGGGAUGCGUGGAGGCCUAAC